Molecule: ribosomal RNA, 253 nt
Filed under: uncultured bacterium
Lineage: Bacteria
Description: partial 16S ribosomal RNA
Rfam family: Bacterial small subunit ribosomal RNA
Source: RNAcentral
UACGAGGGGGGCAAGCGUUGUUCGGAAUUAUUGGGCGUAAAGGGCGCGUAGGCGGUUUGACAAGUCUGAUGUGAGAUCUCUGGGCUCAACCCAGGGUCUGCAUUAGAAACUGUCGGGCUUGAGUAUGGGAGAGGUGAGUGGAAUUUCCGGUGUAGCGGUGAAAUGCGUAGAGAUCCGGAGGAACACCGAAGGCGAAGGCAGUGUCCUGGCGCGUAACUGACGCUGAGGUGCGAAAGCCAGGGGAGCGAACGGG